RNAcentral lists this non-coding RNA (763 nucleotides) under Theretra alecto. Lineage: Eukaryota; Metazoa; Arthropoda; Insecta; Lepidoptera; Sphingidae. The record is from RNAcentral.
UUAUGGUUUGUAAAUUUUAUUUUAAGUUUAUUUUACAUGUAAAUUUUAGUGUUAAAUAUUAAUUAUUUAAAUAAUAUUUAAUUUUUGUGCAGUAAUUAAUUUUAAAAAUUUAAGAAAUUAAGAUUUAGUAAUAUUUAAAUUAAUAACUAAUUUUGUGCCAGCAGUUGCGGUUAAACAAAAGUUAAUUUAAAUUUUUUUUAGUUAUUAAUAAUUAAUAUUGUUUAUAAUUUAAAUUAAAAAUUAUUAGGUGAAAUUUUAAUUUAUAAAAAAUUAUUUAAUAAUUAUGAAUUAGUAAAUUUUAUAAAAAAACUAGGAUUAGAUACCCUAUUAUUAAAAAAUUAAAUUUAUAAUACUAAAAUAGUAAAUAAUUUAUUGAAACUUAAAUAAUUUGGCGGUAUUUUAGUUUAUUUAGAGGAAUCUGUUUAAUAAUUGAUAAUCCACGAAUAAAUUUACUUAAUUUAAAAUUUUGUAUAUCGUUGUUAAAAAAAUAUUUUAUGAUAAAAAUAAUAUUUAAAAAUUUUUAUAUAAAAUUAAAUCAGAUCAAGAUGCAGAUUAUAAUUAAGAAUAUAAUGGAUUACAAUAAAUUUAUUUAAAUUGGAAUUUAAUAUGGAAAGAUUAAAUGAAAUUGGAUUUAAAUGUAAUUUUAUAAAAUUUUAUAAAAUGAUUAAUAAUUAAAAUAUGUACAUAUUGCCCGUCGCUUUCAUUUAAAAAUUGGAAUAAGUCGUAACAAAGUAGAGGUACUGGAAAGUGUUUCUAGAAAGAU